UCUUCGUCGAAUUCAAAAUCACCGUCGAAUUUUCGUUUGCAUUUCGCUCCAGUGACAAGUACGAGGAGUACCGUUGCCAGAAAUGCCCAAGAAAAUCUCAUGGUUUGUUUCUUCUUUUUCUUCUACUUAUUUCCUACUUUCUUUCUUCCUUCCUUCCUUUCUUCUUUCCUUACUUUCUUCCUUAUUGACAGAAAAAGAAGACAAACAAUCCCUUCAAAAAACAACACUUUACCACGACGAUACGCGUAACGAACAAACGAGUCAACGAAUUAAAUAAUGAAAUAAAACGUUUUAAUAAUUGUCUUAAUUAAACGUUAAAUAUGUUCACCAAUAAUAAUGCAAGUUGUCGCAACAAUGCAACGCGCGGUUUAAAAGAAAAUCCGUAUAUUCACUUCGGUACCGUUAAACACGCGAUAAACAGAAACGUUCCGUUCGGCGGUCGAAGGAAUUGUGACUGCGCCUGUCGGAACGACAACGACGCCACCGCGUCGACCGUGCUACGACGGCAACGACCGCUCCUAUUGGUCAAUUUACUGAGCCGCCGUGGGGAUCGAGUGAAGUGGGGAUAGAGAGAAGAACUACACUGUGCCGUGGCCCGCUGCACAUUAGUUCUAUCCUUGUCGGAUUGAUAGCAACUUGCGUCCUUGCAUUUUUCUCUCUCUCUCUCUCUCCCACUCCCCCUCGCUCCGCCCUCUCAUUCUCUUUCUCUCUUUAUUCCCUCUAUAUCUUUCUCUUUCUCUCUCUCAUUUCUAUCUCACAUUUCUCUCUUUUUCUCUCUCCCACGUUCUUCGUUCCAAAAGAGAAUGAAGAGAAACGCGCGAGCGCGCUCGGGGUCUACCUCGCGCGGUAGUCAAUACCUACACCUGCUCGAUUUACCUGAGGGAAAGGAGGAGAGAAGCAGCAGCAGCAGCAGCAGCUCGAGAGAUGAUCGGUACCAGAUCAACGUGUAACCAUCAUCAUCAGCAGACAAAUAUGAUACAGACAAUGAAGUAGAUAGAAGAAUUUUCUUUAGAGUGAUAGGUGAUCAUGAGCGGAGUACAACGACGUAUGGCUCAAGGACAUGCAAGUUCACGCAAGGUCAUUCAAGGCAGCAUUGCAUCAAUGCUAACAGCUAUAAUUUCGAAUAUUUACUGCAAAUUGAAGCCUCAUUAAUAAUAGCAAUUCAAAAGCUAUCAUUAUUAUUUAGCUUACAAAUAUUGACCUUCUAUAUUGUAACGAAUAAUAAAAAUAUGUAAGUGCUAACAGUUAA
Long non-coding RNA from Polistes dominula (European paper wasp), 1249 nucleotides. Lineage: Eukaryota; Metazoa; Arthropoda; Insecta; Hymenoptera; Vespidae. The record is from RefSeq and is a predicted model, not a curated record.